UGAGGAAUAUUGCGCAAUGGGCGAAAGCCUGACGCAGCGACGCCGCGUGUAGGACGAAGGUCUUCGGAUCGUAAACUCCUGUCGAGCGGGACGAAGCCGGGGCGGUGAAUAGCCGCUUCGGUUGACGGUACCGCUAAAGGAAGCCCCGGCUAACUCCGUGCCAGCAGCCGCGGUAAUACGGAGGGGGCCAGCGUUGUUCGGAAUCAUUGGGCGUAAAGGGCGCGUAGGCGGCUCUGUAAGUCCGUUGUGAAAUCCCUCGGCCCAACCGAGGAACUGCGACGGAUACUGCUUGGCUUGAGUCCCGGAGAGGGUAGCGGAAUUCCCAGUGUAGCGGUGAAAUGCGUAGAUAUUGGGAGGAACAUCGGUGGCGAAGGCGGCUACCUGGACGGGUACUGACGCUGAUGCGCGAAAGCUAGGGGAGCAAACAG
This 428-nucleotide ribosomal RNA is filed under the name uncultured bacterium. RNAcentral's name for it is "bacterial SSU rRNA". It matches the Rfam family "Bacterial small subunit ribosomal RNA", at positions 355 to 775 of the family's 1533-position model. The record is from RNAcentral.